GGGAAUCUACCCUGAUCUGCGGAAUAGCUCCGGGAAACUGGAAUUAAUACCGCAUGUGCCCUGAGGGGCAAAGAUUUAUCGGUUCAGGAUGAGCCCGCGUCCGAUUAGCUAGUUGGUGGGGUAAUGGCCUACCAAGGCGACGAUCGGUAGCUGGUCUAAGAGGAUGAUCAGCCACAUUGGGACUGAGACACGGCCCAAACUCCUACGGGAGGCAGCAGUGGGGAAUAUUGGACAAUGGGCGCAAGCCUGAUCCAGCCAUGCCGCGUGAGUGAUGAAGGCCCUAGGGUUGUAAAGCUCUUUCAGUGGGGACGACAAUGACGGUACCCACAGAAGAAGCCCCGGCUAACUUCGUGCCAGCAGCCGCGGUAAUACGAAGGGGGCUAGCGUUGUUCGGAAUUACUGGGCGUAAAGCGCACGUAGGCGGACAUUUAAGUCAGGGGUGAAAUCCCGGGGCUCAACCCCGGAACGGCCUUUGAUACUGGGUGUCUUGAGUUCGGAAGAGGUGAGUGGAAUUGCGAGU
This 520-nucleotide ribosomal RNA is filed under the name uncultured bacterium. RNAcentral describes it as "bacterial SSU rRNA". It matches the Rfam family "Bacterial small subunit ribosomal RNA", at positions 120 to 674 of the family's 1533-position model. The record is from RNAcentral.